AGUGAACGCUGGCGGUAGGCCUAACACAUGCAAGUCGAACGGCAGCACAGUAAGAGCUUGCUCUUACGGGUGGCGAGUGGCGGACGGGGAGGAAUACAUCGGAAUCUACUUUUUCGUGGGGGAUAACGUAGGGAAACUUACGCUAAUACCGCAUACGACCUACGGGUGAAAGCAGGGGAUCUUCGGACCUUGCGCGAUUGAAUGAGCCGAUGUCGGAUUAGCUAGUUGGCGGGGUAAAGGCCCACCAAGGCGACGAUCCGUAGCUGGUCUGAGAGGAUGAUCAGCCACACUGGAACUGAGACACGGUCCAGACUCCUACGGGAGGCAGCAGUGGGGAGUAUUGGACAAUGGGCGCAAGCCUGAUCCAGCCAUACCGCGUGGGUGAAGAAGGCCUUCGGGUUGUAAAGCCCUUUUGUUGGGAAAGAAAAGCAGCAGGUUAAUACCCCGCUGUUCUGACGGUACCCAAAGAAUAAGCACCGGCUAACUUCGUG
Molecule: ribosomal RNA, 491 nt
Filed under: uncultured bacterium
Lineage: Bacteria
Description: partial 16S ribosomal RNA
Rfam family: Bacterial small subunit ribosomal RNA
Source: RNAcentral